GUGUCAGCCGCCGCGGUAAUACGUAGGUGGCAAGCGUUGUUCGGAAUUACUGGGCGUAAAGCGCGUGUAGGCGGCUCUUCAAGUCAGACGUGAAAGCCCCGGGCUUAACUCGGGAACUGCGUUUGAUACUGUCGAGCUAGAGUGUGGAAGGGGCGAUUGGAAUUCCGUGUGUAGCGGUGAAAUGCGUAGAUAUACGGAGGAACACCAGAGGCGAAGGCGGAUCGCUGGGCCAACACUGACGCUGAGACGCGAAAGCUAGGGGAGCAAACGGGAUUAGAAACCCUCGUAGUCC
Molecule: ribosomal RNA, 292 nt
Filed under: uncultured bacterium
Lineage: Bacteria
Description: partial 16S ribosomal RNA
Rfam family: Bacterial small subunit ribosomal RNA
Source: RNAcentral